Molecule: long non-coding RNA, 1962 nt
Filed under: Lotus japonicus
Lineage: Eukaryota; Viridiplantae; Streptophyta; Magnoliopsida; Fabales; Fabaceae
Description: long non-coding RNA (LJAP_LNC001653)
Source: RNAcentral
GCCAGAACCUUAUAAUUUCUAGUCGAAAUAUGGUGCUGGUUUUGGUGUCGAAAUUAUAUGUUGAUGGAGCAUUGUUCAUGGUAUUGGUUAUCAAUUCAACUAUUUUUUAAUGUGUCCAAGUUGUCUAAUUGAUUGGUGAAGUUCUCGACUAAAGACAAGGAAAAAGAUGGCAACUGUCAAAGAAAGUGGAACGUGGCAAUUAUGGAGGUGGAAGUGGUGCAAGGAGUUACCUGAAGUAUAGCUACGGGAAGUUGACACAAGUUGUUGCAAGUUAUUUUAUUUGUAAUUAUGCCAAGUAUGUGGCUAUAAUGUAGGGAGUUAUUUUCUAAGAUUUAAUCUCCACCGUAGGAUUAGAGUAGCAGUUUCCUCUUAAGCUCUAUAAAUAUCAGUUUGUAAUAUGAACAAGGGGUUGGAUUCCUAAAUGACUGCAAAGCUCUAAAAAAGCCUUCAAGCCCACGGUUAUGGCAAACGGCUUCAACGAGUGUGCAGUAGACGGAUUCCUUCCACCAUUUACCAUUCCAGUAAUGAAUUUGCUUCGUUCUUAUUUGUUUUCUCUUUGAUUACCUUUUGAUUCCUUGCGAUCUUUUUUAUCUUCUUUUAAAUUUCUACUUGUUUCUACAUCUAUUGCAAUACUCACCGGAGUGUUGUUUCUUUCAAGUUGUCACCGGACAACUUCUUCACUUUUGUUUUCACUCUUGAAAACACACAUAAAUUGCCUGUAAGCCGUCGGACUUGGAGAGCCCAUGAAAUAGGAUCUGAUCCUUGAAAUAAUUAAUUUACAUGUGAUUUUACGAAAAAUCAGUGUAAACAAAUUGGCGCUAGAAGGAGGGUCAUUUCAAGUUUGAAGCAGGGCAUGUGUGUUCGAAAAUUUUGGUUUUUAUGGAUGUUCAUGCUUCAAGUUUUGGAAUUACAAGUCUGAAAAUUCCAUACAUGAUACAUUCAGUAUCACUUCCACGAAAGGGAAUUGGAUGAAGUAAUUUCAAGCACUUAGUUCGAAUUUCGGCUCACAUAGCCGAAAAUGAAAUUAAACGGUUUUUCAAAGCCGCAGAAAAAAUUGGCUGCGUUUUAAAGCUAAUGAACAUAUUGUUGUGGAAGGCUUAAUGGCAUCACCAAGUUCGAAUUGGCCUCAUGAUUUCCAAUUUGGCCAAGUUAAAGUUCAAGAAGAGUCUUUUGAAGUCUCAAAAUGACGUUGAAAAUAUUCAUAGUUGAAAGAAUAUGGUGCUGUCCACAGAAUCUGAAUUGGAACUGUACAAGGAGAACUCAAAGAAUAUUCAAAUGGGAAAUGGCUAAAUAAACAUGGAAGGCCAUGAAGUGUUUGUUCAAAUUUUGGUAUUGCAAUUCAAAUGUUAUUCCUCUCACUUCCUUCGAGCAACAACAUUUGGGGGGCCUCUGUUGAUACCAAAAUUUUAUAUAUAUCAUGUGUCAGAACCUUAUAAUUUCUAGUCGAAAUAUGGUGCUGGUUUUGGUGUCGAAAUUAUAUGUUGAUGGAGCAUUGUUCAUGGUAUUGGUUAUCAAUUCAACUAUUUUUUAAUGUGUCCAAGUUGUCUAAUUGAUUGGUGAAGUUCUCGACUAAAGACAAGGAAAAAGAUGGCAACUGUCAAAGAAAGUGGAACGUGGCAAUUAUGGAGGUGGAAGUGGUGCAAGGAGUUACCUGAAGUAUAGCUACGGGAAGUUGACACAAGUUGUUGCAAGUUAUUUUAUUUGUAAUUAUGCCAAGUAUGUGGCUAUAAUGUAGGGAGUUAUUUUCUAAGAUUUAAUCUCCACCGUAGGAUUAGAGUAGCAGUUUCCUCUUAAGCUCUAUAAAUAUCAGUUUGUAAUAUGAACAAGGGGUUGGAUUCCUAAAUGACUGCAAAGCUCUAAAAAAGCCUUCAAGCCCACGGUUAUGGCAAACGGCUUCAACGAGUGUGCAGUAGACGGAUUCCUUCCACCAUUUACCAUUCCAGUAAUGAAUUUGCUUCGUUC